This 1347-nucleotide ribosomal RNA is filed under the name metagenome. RNAcentral's name for it is "SSU rRNA". It matches the Rfam family "Eukaryotic small subunit ribosomal RNA", at positions 1 to 1315 of the family's 1831-position model. The record is from RNAcentral.
UCUGGUUGAUCCUGCCAGUAGUGAUAUGCUUGUUUCAAAGAUUAAGCCAUGCAUGUCUAAGUAUAAGCGAACUUAUACAGUGAAACUGCGGAUGGCUCACUAUAACAGUUUGAAUUUAUUUGAUGAAUGUAUGAGAAUACUACUUGGAUAACCGUAGUAAUUCUAGAGCUAAUACAUGCAACGACGCCCGACCGUUUCACUACGGAAGGGCUGUAUUUAUUGGAUACCAAAACCAUCCUUCCCUCGGGAAGUUUUGUUUGAUGAUUCACAAUAACUGAUCGGAUCGCCACUGUGGUGGCGACAGGUCAUUCAACAUUCUGCCCUAUCAGCUUUCGAUGGUUGUGUAGUGGACAACCAUGGCCAUAACGGGUAACGGAGAAUCAGGGUUCGAUUCCGGAGAAGGAGCUUGAGAAUUGGCUACUACAUCUAAGGAAGGCAGCAGGCGCGCAAAUUACCCAAUCCCGAUUCGGGGAGGUAGUGACAAAAAAUAACAAUACCGGGCCUUUUUGGGCUUGGUAAUUGGAAUGAGGGAGAGUUAAACGGACCAUCGAGUAUCCAUUGGAGGGCAAGUCUGGUGCCAGCAGCUGCGGUAAUACCAGCUCCAAUAGCGUAUAUUAAAGUUGUUGCAGUUAAAAAGCUCGUAGUUGGACUUGUGUGCGCUGUCCGCGGGUGGCCUGCGCCCAAAAGGGCGUUUCGGUUCGGCCCCGGUGGCGCCUUGAAAUCUGCAGCUGGGGGGACGUUGGCCUUAACUGGUCGGCGACCGCACGCCGGCUGCUCGGUUACUGUGAGAAAAUUAGAGUGUUCAAGGCAGGCAUUGGGUGCAAUUGAGUACAUUAGCAUGGAAUAAUAAAAUAUGGCUCCUGCCGUAUUUUGUUGGUUUUGACUGGUGGGAGUAAUGAUUGAUAGGGACGGUUGGGGGUGCUAGUAUUGAGCGGCCAGAGGUGAAAUUCAUGGAUUCGCUCAAGACUAACUUAUGCGAAAGCAUUCACCAAGGACGUCCUCUUUAAUCAAGAACGAAAGUUGGGGGAUCGAAGACGAUCAGAUACCGUCGUAGUCUCAACCAUAAACUAUGUCGACUUGGGAUCGGCGGUAGUUUUUUCAUUAAGACACUGUCGGGACCACGGGAGAAAUCAAAGUGUCUGGACUCUGGGGGAAGUAUGGUCGCAAGGCUGAAACUUGAAGGAAUUGACGGAAGGGCACCACCAGGAGUGGAGCCUGCGGCUUAAUUUGACCCAACACGGGGAAACUUACCAGGUCCAGAGAUGUAGAGGAUUGACAGAUUGAAGCUCUUUCUUGAUCACUUCGGUGGUGGUGCAUGGCCGGUCUUAGUUGGUGGAGUGAUUUGCC